This 607-nucleotide ribosomal RNA is filed under the name uncultured bacterium. RNAcentral's name for it is "bacterial SSU rRNA". The stretch from base 1 to 517 matches the Rfam family "Bacterial small subunit ribosomal RNA", at positions 338 to 873 of the family's 1533-position model. The record is from RNAcentral.
CCUACGGGAGGCAGCAGUGGGGAAUAUUGGACAAUGGGCGCAAGCCUGAUCCAGCCAUGCCGCGUGUGUGAUGAAGGCCUUAGGGUUGUAAAGCACUUUCGCCGAUGAAGAUAAUGACUGUAGUCGGAGAAGAAGCCCCGGCUAACUUCGUGCCAGCAGCCGCGGUAAUACGAAGGGGGCUAGCGUUGUUCGGAAUUACUGGGCGUAAAGCGUACGUAGGCGGAUUGUUAAGUGAGGGGUGAAAUCCCGAGGCUCAACCUCGGAACUGCCUUUCAUACUGGCAAUCUUGAGUCCGGGAGAGGUGAGUGGAACUCCUAGUGUAGAGGUGAAAUUCGUAGAUAUUAGGAAGAACACCAGUGGCGAAGGCGGCUCACUGGCCCGGAACUGACGCUGAGGUACGAAAGCGUGGGGAGCAAACAGGAUUAGAUACCCUGGUAGUCCACGCCGUAAACGAUGGAUGCUAGCCGUCGGGGAGCUUGCUCUUCGGUGGCGCAGCUACGCAUAAGUACACUCCGCCGUCGGGGUAGGUACGGUCGCGAAGAAUUAAACUACAAAUAGAAGUUAGACGGCGUGAGACGUGCCGACGGACGACGACGAGGGAGGUAGG